RNAcentral lists this ribosomal RNA (315 nucleotides) under Triticum aestivum (bread wheat). Its description in RNAcentral is "partial small subunit ribosomal RNA". Lineage: Eukaryota; Viridiplantae; Streptophyta; Magnoliopsida; Poales; Poaceae. The record is from RNAcentral.
AUGGAUCUUUUUCAUAUUUGUUUGUGUGCCCAUAGGGUCCCUCUGUUUAAGUGCACUCCUCCAACUAGCGAUGAAUUUAUAGUUGAUGCUAAAUAUCUGGUUACCUGCUUUGGUCCCGCUGGCUGCAUUGAUACUGAGUUGAUGGAUCUUGUGAUCAGCUAUUGGAAGGGAAGCCCUGAGUGCAAUCAUGUGUACAAAUCCGGAGAUAGGGUGUUGCUAAACCCGUAUGUGAUAAAUUAUCUUCUGGAAAUUGGUCCGUACCAUCGGCCAGUUGAUGAAGAUGGGCAGGAGGUCCUGACCGCACUUGAAUGUUAA